This 419-nucleotide ribosomal RNA is filed under the name uncultured bacterium. RNAcentral describes it as "bacterial SSU rRNA". It matches the Rfam family "Bacterial small subunit ribosomal RNA", at positions 355 to 776 of the family's 1533-position model. The record is from RNAcentral.
UAAGGAAUAUUGCGCAAUGGGCGAAAGCCUGACGCAGCGACGCCGCGUGGGGGAUGAAGGUCUUCGGAUUGUAAACCCCUUUCGGGAGGGAAGAUGGAACGAGCAAUCGUUCGGACGGUACCUCCAGAAGCAGCCACGGCUAACUUCGUGCCAGCAGCCGCGGUAAUACGAAGGUGGCAAGCGUUGUUCGGAUUUACUGGGCGUACAGGGAGCGUAGGCGGUUCGGUAAGCCCUCUGUGAAAUCUCCAGGCUUAACCUGGAACAGUCGGAGGGGACUGCUGGGCUAGAGGACGGGAGAGGAGCGCGGAAUUCCCGGUGUAGCGGUGAAAUGCGUAGAGAUCGGGAGGAAGGCCGGUGGCGAAGGCGGCGCUCUGGAACGUUUCUGACGCUGAGGCUCGAAAGCGUGGGGAGCAAACAGG